This 408-nucleotide ribosomal RNA is filed under the name uncultured bacterium. Its description in RNAcentral is "partial 16S ribosomal RNA". It matches the Rfam family "Bacterial small subunit ribosomal RNA", at positions 28 to 526 of the family's 1533-position model. The record is from RNAcentral.
GACGAACGCUGGCGGCGUGCUUAACACAUGCAAGUCGAACGAAGUGGCGAACGGGUGAGUAACGGGGAAUCAACCUGCCCUUCAGAGGGGGACAACAGGUGGAAACGACGGCUCAUAACGCAAACUGAAGGAGGGGACUGAGGCGGAUUGGCUGGUUGGAGGGGUAACGGCCACCCAAGGCGAUGAUCAGUAGCCGGUCUGAGGGGGUGGACGGCCACAUUGGGACUGUGACACGGCCCAGACUCCUACGGGAGGCAGCAGUGGGGAAUCUUCCGGAAUGGACGAAAGUCUGACGGAGCAACGCCGCGUGAGUGAUGACGGCCUUCGGGUUGUAAAGCUCUGUUAGUCGGGACGCGGUACCGGAAUAGAAAGCCACGGCUAACUACGUGCCAGCCGCCGCGGUAAUUC